AGAGAUGUGUGAUGACGCAUAUCAAUAAGCGGAGGAAAAGAAACUAACAAGGAUUCCCUUAGUAACGGCGAGUGAAGCGGGGAGAGCUCAAAUUUGAAAUCUUCAAGGUUCUACCUUGACGAAUUGUAGUUUAUAGAAGUGUUUUCUGUUAGUGGAGUGGCAAAAGUUCUUUGGAAUAGGACAUCAUAGAGGGUGAGAAUCCCGUAUUUGGUCAUUCCUCCUAGCGUUGUGAUACACUUUCAACGAGUCGGAUUGUUUGGGAAUGCAGUCCAAAAUGGGUGGUAAAUUUCAUCUAAAGCUAAAUAUUGGCGAGAGACCGAUAGCGAACAAGUACCGUGAGGGAAAGAUGAAAAGAACUUUGAAAAGAGAGUUAAACAGUACGUGAAAUUGUCAAAAGGGAAGCGUUUGACACCAGUGUUGUUUUUCCGAAAAUCAAUUACGAAUGUUUUGUUUUUAAGAAGUUAUGACUUCAUCGGCUUGCUUCUCUCUUUACGAAACUUUCUUAAUGCACUUUUCGGUUAACAAGUCAACAUUAAUUUCUUUUGUUGUAAAGGGGUAUGAGGAAGGUGGCUUUCUUUUCGGAGAAAGUGUUUAUAGCCUUGUACCUCUGCAAUCGGAGAGAUUGAGGUCUGCAGCGUAGAUCCUUCGGGGUUAGAUACAUUUGUGCUAAGUUAUAGCUUUUCAUAGACAACUUGUUGACUAUGUUAAGUCUUGUAGCUUACUCGCUUAUGCUAUUUUACCUACGCUUAGGAUGUUGAUAGUCACAGCGUGUAC
RNAcentral lists this ribosomal RNA (774 nucleotides) under uncultured Neocallimastigales. RNAcentral describes it as "partial large subunit ribosomal RNA". It matches the Rfam family "Eukaryotic large subunit ribosomal RNA", at positions 23 to 644 of the family's 3401-position model. The record is from RNAcentral. Lineage: Eukaryota; Fungi; Neocallimastigomycota; Neocallimastigomycetes; Neocallimastigales.